UCUGGUUUCCGUGUCUAACAUUUAACCGUCCGUCUUAUUUAAAAAAAUUAUAAAAAAAAUAAAAAGACAAGUCACAUAUAAAAUAUUAAUCAUGUUUUAUCAUCUAACAACAAUGAAAAUACGAAUUAUAAAAAAAUUUCAUAUAAAACGGACAGUUAAAGUUGGACACGGAAACCCAAGAUUUAACUUUUU
Molecule: microRNA precursor, 192 nt
Filed under: Oryza nivara
Lineage: Eukaryota; Viridiplantae; Streptophyta; Magnoliopsida; Poales; Poaceae
Description: MIR812 microRNA precursor family
Rfam family: MIR812 microRNA precursor family
Source: Rfam by way of RNAcentral